GAGCUCAGUUGGUAGCACAUGAGACUCUUAAUUUCAGGGUCGUGGGUCCAAGUCCCAUGUUGGGCA
Molecule: non-coding RNA, 66 nt
Organism: Podarcis lilfordi (Lilford's wall lizard)
Lineage: Eukaryota; Metazoa; Chordata; Lepidosauria; Squamata; Lacertidae
Source: the annotation of a GenBank genome assembly